RNAcentral lists this ribosomal RNA (232 nucleotides) under uncultured bacterium. Its description in RNAcentral is "partial 16S ribosomal RNA". It matches the Rfam family "Bacterial small subunit ribosomal RNA", at positions 90 to 339 of the family's 1533-position model. The record is from RNAcentral.
CCUUAGUGGCGGACGGGUGAGUAACGCGUGGGAACCUGCCUCUUGGUACGGAAUAACAUCAGGAAACCGAUGCUAAUACCGUAUACGCCCUUAGGGGGAAAGAUUUAUCGCCGAGAGAGGGGCCCGCGUUAGAUUAGGUUGUUGGUGGGGUAAUGGCCCACCAAGCCUACGAUCUAUAGCUGGUUUGAGAGGAUGAUCAGCCACACUGGGACUGAGACACGGCCCAGACUCC